This 433-nucleotide ribosomal RNA is filed under the name uncultured bacterium. RNAcentral describes it as "partial 16S ribosomal RNA". It matches the Rfam family "Bacterial small subunit ribosomal RNA", at positions 29 to 507 of the family's 1533-position model. The record is from RNAcentral.
AACGAACGCUGGCGGCAUGCCUAACACAUGCAAGUCGAACGAGACCUUCGGGUCUAGUGGCGCACGGGUGCGUAACGCCUGGGAACCUGCCCUUAGGUUCGGAAUAACUCCCCGAAAGGGGUGCUAAUACCGGAUAAUGUCUUCGGACCAAAGAUUUAUCGCCUUUGGAUGGGCCCGCGUUGGAUUCGCUAGUUGGUAGGGUAAUAGCCUGCCAAGGCGACGAUCCAGAGCUGGUCUGAGAGGAUGAUCAGCCACACUGGGACUGAGACACGGCCCAGACUGCUACGGGAGGGAGCAGUGGGGAAUAUUGGACAAGGGGCGAAAGCCUGAUCCAGCAAUGCCGCGUGAGUGAUGAAGGCCUUAGGGUUGUAAAGCUCUUUUACCCGGGAUGAUAAUGACAGUACCGGGUGAAUAAGCACCGGCUAACUCCGUG